UACGUAGGGGGCAAGCGUUAUCCGGAAUUACUGGGUGUAAAGGGUGAGUAGGCGGCAUGGUAAGCCAGAUGUGAAAGCCUUGGGCUUAACCCGAGGAUUGCAUUUGGAACUAUCAAGCUAGAGUACAGGAGAGGAAAGCGGAAUUCCUAGUGUAGCGGUGAAACGCGUAGAUGUUAGGAAGAACACCAGUGGCGAAGGCGGCUUUCUGGACUGAAACUGACGCUGAGGCACGAAAGCGUGGGGAGCGAACAGG
Molecule: ribosomal RNA, 253 nt
Filed under: uncultured bacterium
Lineage: Bacteria
Description: partial 16S ribosomal RNA
Rfam family: Bacterial small subunit ribosomal RNA
Source: RNAcentral